GGAUGUGAGGGUGAUCUGGCUUGCAACAUCUGUCACCCCAUUGAUCACCAGGGUUGAUUCAGCUGAUCUGCCUGAUCUCUCCUUCCUCUCUCACCUCUCCACGUGCAUCCCUCCCAAAACUGCACAUUCAGUUGCAGAGGAUGACUACCACCGAUAGAGGAGGACCGUUCUUUGGUCAAGGGUAUACAAGUAGCUUCGCUCCCCUGCUAGAACUUCCAAACAAGCUCUCAAGGUCCUAGUAAAUAUAAAAAUUGUAUUUCGAAAAUAUUGGAGGAUUAAAAAUGUGACUUU
RNAcentral lists this small nuclear RNA (291 nucleotides) under Sus scrofa (pig). RNAcentral describes it as "7SK RNA". It matches the Rfam family "7SK RNA". From Rfam's summary of the family: 7SK was discovered as an abundant small nuclear RNA in the mid-70s but a possible function has only recently been suggested. Two independent studies have found that 7SK RNA binds the CDK9/cyclin T complex (known as elongation factor P-TEFb). P-TEFb activates transcription by phosphorylating the C-terminal domain of RNA polymerase II. Lineage: Eukaryota; Metazoa; Chordata; Mammalia; Artiodactyla; Suidae. The record is from Rfam by way of RNAcentral.